Molecule: transfer RNA, 87 nt
Filed under: Nocardiopsis metallicus
Lineage: Bacteria; Bacillati; Actinomycetota; Actinomycetes; Streptosporangiales; Nocardiopsidaceae
Description: tRNA-OTHER
Source: RNAcentral
GGGCGAAUGCUUGUUUGCGCAGGUCGAUGCGACGCUUGAGCUACCUCGACACGGUAGGGGUCACAGGUUCGAGUCCUGUAUCGCCCA